Molecule: ribosomal RNA, 436 nt
Filed under: uncultured bacterium
Lineage: Bacteria
Description: partial 16S ribosomal RNA
Rfam family: Bacterial small subunit ribosomal RNA
Source: RNAcentral
GAUGAACGCUGGCGGUAUGCUUAACACAUGCAAGUCGAACGGGGUGCAUAGUCACCUAGUGGCGGACGGGUGAGUAACGCGUGAGAAUCUGGCCUCAGGUCCGGGACAACCACGGGAAACGGUGGCUAAUACCGGAUGUGCCAUAUUGGUGAAAGAUUAACUGCCUGAGGAUGAGCUCGCGUCUGAUUAGCUAGUUGGUGGGGUAAAGGCUUACCAAGGCGACGAUCAGUAACUGGUCUGAGAGGAUGACCAGUCACACUGGGACUGAGACACGGCCCAGACUCCUACGGGAGGCAGCAGUGGGGAAUUUUCCGCAAUGGGCGAAAGCCUGACGGAGCAAUACCGCGUGAGGGAGGAAGGCUCUUGGGUUGUAAACCUCUUUUCUCAGGGAAGAAGAAUUACGGUACCUGAGGAAUCAGCAUCGGCUAACUCCGUG